Molecule: ribosomal RNA, 253 nt
Filed under: uncultured bacterium
Lineage: Bacteria
Description: partial 16S ribosomal RNA
Rfam family: Bacterial small subunit ribosomal RNA
Source: RNAcentral
UACGUAGGUGGCAAGCGUUGUCCGGAUUUACUGGGCGUAAAGGGCGUGCAGGCGGUCUGUUAAGUGCAGGGUGAAAGCUCCCGGCUCAACUGGGAGAGGUCCUUGCAUACUGGCGGACUUGAGGGGGGUAGAGGAAAGUGGAAUUCCCGGUGUAGUGGUGAUAUGCGUAGAUAUCGGGAGGAACACCAGUGGCGAAGGCGGCACUCUGGGUUGUACCUGACGCUGAUGUGCGAAGGCUAGGGGAGCGAACAGG